AAUGAACGCUGGCGGCGUGCUUUACACAUGCAAGUCGAGCGAGGCGGCCCGCAAGGGCCAGUCGAGCGGCGAACGGGUGAGUAACACGUGGAUUAUCUGCCCUGAGGUGGGGGAUAACCCGGGGAAACUCGGGCUAAUACCGCAUAUGACCGCGAGGUCAAAGGGGGGUCGCAAGAUCUCUCGCCAUAGGAGGAGUCCGCGUCCGAUUAGCUAGUUGGUAGGGUAAUGGCCUACCAAGGCGACGAUCGGUAGCCGGCCUGAGAGGGUGAUCGGCCACACUGGAACUGAGACACGGUCCAGACUCCUACGGGAGGCAGCAGUGGGGAAUUUUGCGCAAUGGGCUAACGCCUGACGCAGCAACGCCGCGUGGAGGAUGAAGGUCCUUGGAUGUAAACUCCUGUCAGCAGGGAAAAAGCGACUCGGCCUAAUACGCCGGGGAGUUGAUUGUACCUGCAGAGGAAGCCCCGGCUAACUCUGUGCCAGCAGCCGCGGUAAUACAGAGGGGGCAGCGUUAUUCGGAAUUAUUGGGCGUAAGGGGCGCGUAGGCGGCUGGGCAAGUGGAUGGUGAAAUCCCUCGGC
This 579-nucleotide ribosomal RNA is filed under the name uncultured bacterium. RNAcentral describes it as "bacterial SSU rRNA". It matches the Rfam family "Bacterial small subunit ribosomal RNA", at positions 28 to 608 of the family's 1533-position model. The record is from RNAcentral.